GAAUUUCUUCUGGACCUGACAGAUGCUUCCUUGUACAGCCGUUCCCGAGGACUGAGCAGUUUGAAGUUUCCAAAGAUGAAAACAUGGCUGCUCCUGGCUAUAGGAUUUGCCUGGUCCAGAAGGUGUUUCCUUACCAAGGACCUCUACUUGGGUGGCAGUCUGGAGAACAAGGU
Molecule: long non-coding RNA, 173 nt
Organism: Molossus molossus (Pallas's mastiff bat)
Lineage: Eukaryota; Metazoa; Chordata; Mammalia; Chiroptera; Molossidae
Exons: 3
Source: RefSeq, a predicted model, not a curated record